This 105-nucleotide transfer-messenger RNA is filed under the name Deltaproteobacteria bacterium. RNAcentral's name for it is "partial transfer-messenger RNA". It matches the Rfam family "transfer-messenger RNA", at positions 1 to 105 of the family's 374-position model. From Rfam's summary of the family: Bacterial tmRNA, also known as 10Sa RNA or SsrA, is named for its dual tRNA and mRNA-like properties. Its role is to liberate the mRNA from a stalled ribosome. The record is from RNAcentral. Lineage: Bacteria; Pseudomonadati; Myxococcota; Myxococcia.
GGGGGCGUCACGGUUUCGACGGGGAUGCGUGAAGCUGCAUAAGCGUACCGAGGUUCCUGCAGGCCUCGUUAAACAGGCAGGACAAUAUAAUCGCAGACAACUACG